UACGUAGGGUGCAAGCGUUGUCCGGAAUUAUUGGGCGUAAAGAGCUCGUAGGCGGUUUGUCGCGUCUGCUGUGAAAACUCGGGGCUUAACCCCGGGCCUGCAGUGGGUACGGGCAGACUAGAGUGCGGUAGGGGAGACUGGAAUUCCUGGUGUAGCGGUGAAAUGCGCAGAUAUCAGGAGGAACACCGGUGGCGAAGGCGGGUCUCUGGGCCAUUACUGACGCUGAGGAGCGAAAGCGUGGGGAGCGAACAGG
This 253-nucleotide ribosomal RNA is filed under the name uncultured bacterium. Its description in RNAcentral is "partial 16S ribosomal RNA". It matches the Rfam family "Bacterial small subunit ribosomal RNA", at positions 524 to 776 of the family's 1533-position model. The record is from RNAcentral.